RNAcentral lists this ribosomal RNA (471 nucleotides) under Cyclaneusma minus. Its description in RNAcentral is "LSU rRNA". It matches the Rfam family "Eukaryotic large subunit ribosomal RNA", at positions 108 to 585 of the family's 3401-position model. The record is from RNAcentral. Lineage: Eukaryota; Fungi; Ascomycota; Leotiomycetes; Marthamycetales; Marthamycetaceae.
CUCAAAUUUGAAAUCUGGCCUUCGGGUCCGAAUUGUAAUUUGUAGAGGAUGCUUAGGGUGUGGCUCCGGUCUAAGUUCCUUGGAACAGGACGUCAUAGAGGGUGAGAAUCCCGUAUGUGACUGGCAGCCUUCGCCCGUGUUAAGCUCCUUCGACGAGUCGAGUUGUUUGGGAAUGCAGCUCUAAAUGGGUGGUAAAUUUCAUCUAAAGCUAAAUAUUGGCCAGAGACCGAUAGCGCACAAGUAGAGUGAUCGAAAGAUGAAAAGCACUUUGGAAAGAGAGUUAAACAGUACGUGAAAUUGUUGAAAGGGAAGCGCUUGCAAUCAGACUUGCGCGCAGGUAAUCAUCUGGGGUUCUCCCCAGUGCACUUGCCUGCGCUCAGGCCAGCAUCAGUUUUGGCGGCUGGAUAAAGGCCCUAGGAAUGUAGCUUCUCUCGGGGAGUGUUAUAGCCUAGGGUGCAAUGCAGCCUGCUG